CUAUACAUGCAGUCGACGCGUUGGCCCAAUUGAUUGAUGGUGCUUGCACCUGAUUGAUUUUGGUCGCCAACGAGUGGCGGACGGGUGAGUAACACGUAGGUAACCUGCCCAGAAGCGGGGGACAACAUUUGGAAACAGAUGCUAAUACCGCAUAACAGCGUUGUUCGCAUGAACAACGCUUAAAAGAUGGCUUCUCGCUAUCACUUCUGGAUGGACCUGCGGUGCAUUAGCUUGUUGGUGGGGUAACGGCCUACCAAGGCGAUGAUGCAUAGCCGAGUUGAGAGACUGAUCGGCCACAAUGGGACUGAGACACGGCCCAUACUCCUACGGGAGGCAGCAGUAGGGAAUCUUCCACAAUGGGCGCAAGCCUGAUGGAGCAACACCGCGUGAGUGAAGAAGGGUUUCGGCUCGUAAAGCUCUGUUGUUAAAGAAGAACACGUAUGAGAGUAACUGUUCAUACGUUGACGGUAUUUAACCAGAAAGUCACGGCUAACUACGUGCCAGCAGCCGCGGUAAUACGUAGGUGGCAAGCGUUAUCCGGAUUUAUUGGGCGUAAAGAGAGUGCAGGCGGUUUUCUAAGUCUGAUGUGAAAGCCUUCGGCUUAACCGGAGAAGUGCAUCGGAAACUGGAUAACUUGAGUGCAGAAGAGGGUAGUGGAACUCCAUGUGUAGCGGUGGAAUGCGUAGAUAUAUGGAAGAACACCAGUGGCGAAGGCGGCUACCUGGUCUGCAACUGACGCUGAGACUCGAAAGCAUGGGUAGCGAACAGGAUUAGAUACCUGGUAGUCCAUGCCGUAAACGAUGAGUGCUAGGUGUUGGAGGGUUUCCGCCCUUCAGUGCCGGAGCUAACGCAUUAAGCACUCCGCCUGGGGAGUACGACCGCAAGGUUGAAACUCAAAGGAAUUGACGGGGGCCCGCACAAGCGGUGGAGCAUGUGGUUUAAUUCGAAGCUACGCGAAGAACCUUACCAGGUCUUGACAUCUUGCGCCAACCCUAGAGAUAGGGCGUUUCCUUCGGGAACGCAAUGACAGGUGGUGCAUGGUCGUCGUCAGCUCGUGUCGUGAGAUGUUGGGUUAAGUCCCGCAACGAGCGCAACCCUUGUUACUAGUUGCCAGCAUUAAGUUGGGCACUCUAGUGAGACUGCCGGUGACAAACCGGAGGAAGGUGGGGACGACGUCAGAUCAUCAUGCCCCUUAUGACCUGGGCUACACACGUGCUACAAUGGACGGUACAACGAGUCGCGAACUCGCGAGGGCAAGCAAAUCUCUUAAAACCGUUCUCAGUUCGGACUGCAGGCUGCAACUCGCCUGCACGAAGUCGGAAUCGCUAGUAAUCGCGGAUCAGCAUGCCGCGGUGAAUACGUUCCCGGGCCUUGUACACACCGCCCGUCACACCAUGAGAGUUUGUAACACCCAAAGUCGGUGGGGUAACCUUUAGGAGCCAG
This 1443-nucleotide ribosomal RNA is filed under the name Limosilactobacillus fermentum. RNAcentral describes it as "bacterial SSU rRNA". It matches the Rfam family "Bacterial small subunit ribosomal RNA". Lineage: Bacteria; Bacillati; Bacillota; Bacilli; Lactobacillales; Lactobacillaceae. The record is from RNAcentral.